This 668-nucleotide ribosomal RNA is filed under the name Caloplaca circumalbata. RNAcentral's name for it is "LSU rRNA". It matches the Rfam family "Eukaryotic large subunit ribosomal RNA", at positions 241 to 929 of the family's 3401-position model. The record is from RNAcentral. Lineage: Eukaryota; Fungi; Ascomycota; Lecanoromycetes; Teloschistales; Teloschistaceae.
CCCAUGUGAAACUCCUUCGACGAGUCGAGUUGUUUGGGAAUGCAGCUCAAAAUGGGUGGUAUAUUUCAUCUAAAGCUAAAUACCGGCCAGAGACCGAUAGCGCACAAGUAGAGUGAUCGAAAGAUGAAAAGCACUUUGGAAAGAGAGUCAAAAAGUACGUGAAAUUGUUGAAAGGGAAGCGCUCGCAACCAGACCUGCCCGCGGCCGAUCAACCGUCCUUCUGGGCGGUGCACUCGGCCGCGAUCAGGCCAGCAUCGGUUCGGGCGGCCGGAUAAAGGCCCGGGGAACGUAGCUCCUCUCGGGGAGUGUUAUAGCCCCGGGUGCAAUGCGGCCCGCCUGGACCGAGGACCGCGCUUCGGCUAGGAUGCUGGCGUAAUGGUUGUGAGCGGCCCGUCUUGAAACACGGACCAAGGAGUCUAACAUCUAUGCGAGUGUUUGGGUGUCAAACCCAUGCGCGUAAUGAAAGUGAACGGAGGUGGGAACCCAUUCGGGCGCACCAUCGACCGAUCCAGAUGUCUUCGGAUGGAUUUGAGUACGAGCAUAGCUGUUGGGACCCGAAAGAUGGUGAACUAUGCCAGAAUAGGGUGAAGCCAGAGGAAACUCUGGUGGAGGCUCGCAGCGGUUCUGACGUGCAAAUCGAUCGUCAAAUUUUGGCAUAGGGGCGAAAG